CCACAGCUCACAGCAACGCCGGAUCCUUAACCCACUGAACAGGGCCAGGGAUCGAACCUGCAACCUCACGGGUCAUAGUUGGGUUCAUUAACCGCUGAGCCACGAAGGGAACUCCCCAAAGGCGACUGUUUUAAGGAGUUAUUCUUACUUACGUGUUAAAAUUGAGUACCUUUGACAUACUGAACAUGGCAAAGCAUUACACGCCUAUGGAUUGUUGAGAGAGUACCUGUCUAGCUGCAGCGGAGCAGUGUGUGUUUGGGGCGGGGGGACGACCGUGAACUUGGAGGUGCCUGCCUCCUAAGCAUAUGGUGGCAGAGAAGAGGCUUCCUCACGUCUUUUGUGUUUCAUUCCACAGGGACAGAAUUUCUGUCCCGUAGCCAAUGGUUGAUGUCCCUGUGUAUUUAACGUUAGUGUGGAGUGUUGCUCUGUGUCAGGCUCUGUUCUGGGAGCUGAGAAGAAGCUAAGCCUGUUGACUACAGACUCUGGAUGCUGGUGCCUCCUUGGUAAGAUCCUGUAGGUCUGCACGAUGAGCUGGGUGCCUUUCUUGAGCAUGACAGUGUGGGUGGGCCUGGACAUGACGCUUGGAGCUAAGGUUCCGUACACAUGUCGCAUCAGGAUGAACACAGAGAAGAGAGAUAAAAUGUAUAUAAACACACCACACAUUUGUGGAAGUGCAAGAUUUUCUCUGGCUGGGCAAUCAGGAAAUGCUUCCUGGAUUGAGGAAGCUUUGGCCAGACGUUGAAAGAAGAGUGGAGGGUCUGAGUCUGAGGAAAUGUGAGCAGAGGCAGGGAAAGGGAUGGGAAGUACCCGUGAACAGAGUGACGGUGACUAAUUUCUGGUUGCUGGGCAACAGUGUGUGUAGACGUGACUAACGGGAAGAGAAGCAGCAAAGGUCUGCUGAGGCCAGACCCAGGAGGGCUGCAAGGCUUCUGACUAAAGGAUAUAAACUGAACACCGCGUCACGAGAGCCGUUGAAGAAUUUCAGUCGGGGGGUGACAGUAGCAUCAUCUGGUGUCAGCGUGCAGGGUGGCCUGGGCAGUGAGAAAACCAGAGCCGGGGAAGGCCAGUGGAGCUGUCGUGAGAGGGUCUAGGAAGCAGGAGCAGAGGGCCUGCGUGAGGGGGCGACUGGAAUGGAGCAGACCGCCUGGAGGAGAGGGGGCGGCCGGUGGGCAGGAGGAAGGAAGCAACAUUCCUCCACAUCUUUCCACUCAGGUGCCAUUUGUUACUUCCGCGCCAUUUGCAGGCAUUUCCCGACGUUAUCUCGUGCGGUCUUAUCCUAAUCCUGUGAGGCUGGUAAUUUUGUCCUUACUUCAGAGAUGAGGAAACGAAGGCUCAAAGAAAGAUUUGUCCGAAAUUAGGACACAGCUGAUGGGCGUCGAGCAGCACAUCCCAGGCCUCCCUGAUGUCCGCAUCUGUGUUCUUUCUGCUGUAGGAGAUUUUAAAGAGCACGAAUGUGAGAGGGACGAUGAGCUCUGUCCACUGUGCACGUGUUUAGUUAGGUCUUGGUGAGGGGUCCAUCAGGCACCUGAAGAACGUGGAGCUGAACCUCGAGCCCAGAGUCAUGAGGUGGGGGACAAGGGUUUGAGACUCAACCACGUGCUCGCCGAGGGUCCGUCCGGACCAGCCCCGCGUGGCCGGGCGCGUGGCGCUGCACGAGAGAGCCCCGGGCUUGCUUCACGGAACCACAGGCUGGUGAGGGGGACGCCACUCUGUGGGGUGACUGUCAUGGGGCGUGCAGGUUUGCUACAGGAACACCAACCCGGGGGCCUGACCAAGUCUGGGGACCAGGGUGGCCUCUUAAGGAAGUUGUAAUAUUUACCAUGACUCUCGCGUGAGGAAAGCCCAGGUGAAACAUGAGAAAAAGGCAUGUUAUGGGCAAGGGGACUGGAGUGCACCAAGCCCCAAAGGCAAGAGGGAGACCCGGGGCCUCUGAAGACCUGGCAGCUGUGUGCAGCGGGAACGGAGGAAACAGGCGAGAAGGCAGGAGCGGUGGGCAGCCGCUCGAUCAAGAAGUGCCCCUGAAGCUGCAUUAGGGCAUCUUGUCCUCUUCUGAAGGGCAGUAUUCGUGAUGUUAAGUAUUGGAGUGAUGUGAUUAGACCCAUGUUUUAGAAGGACCAUUCUGUCUGCGGAAGAAUAGAUUUCAGGGAAGCAGGUCCUGGAAGCGAAAUGCUGGUCAGGACACCAUUGGACAGAGGAUUCUGGAUGAGAAGCGAUGGUGAUCGGAUAGCAGGAGAGACUCUGGUAGGUGUUGAAGGAUGGGAGGCGUGUGGCAGAUUGGGGUUCGUUGGCUAUGGACGAGGAGGGGGAGGAGUAAAAGGUAACGUGUAAGCUUCUGGCUGGACAGCUGGCUUGUUGCUGGAACUUUCCGAGGGCACACAGUGGAAAGGUCAGAUUUGGGGUUUAGGAUUAGUAGCUUUGGUUAUCCUGAGUAACCAGUUGGUUUCCUGAGUAGUCAGUAAAGGGAGCUGAAGGCUAAGAGGGUGUGGUCAGAGGAGGGCUGUCAGAGCUUACCCUUUCAGAAGCAAAGCAGUUCAGAUGAUGAGAAAAGAACUGGGUCAUUGAGUGGGCCGCUCAGGUCGGGGGAGGGCUGGCCCUGGGAGACGGGAAAGUUAAGGCGCUCACAGCCCCGAGCUGGGUGGGCUUUCCUGUGGCAGCUGAAGUCACGCACGUUGCUGGCAGGACCCGGAGCAGAGAGGGUCCGUGUGUAGGUGGGUGCCGGCCCAGGGACGAGGUGUGGAGCUUGGGCCCUGAGGUGUGCAUUGAAAACACGCUUUGCAGGGACUUGGUGCCCAGCAUCUGAGAGGGAAGAGGAGCCGGAGCACAGGGGAGGGAGGGGCUGGGACCUGGGACUUACCUCUGAGAGGGAGACCAUGGAGGGGCUUUCAAAGAGAACAGGGAAUUUCAGAGGCCUAGGCAGCCCUCGGAGGUUGGUGCCCGGCAGAGAAGGUGUUAACGCAGGGUUGAGGAGAGGGGACCAUGAGCCACCCUACAACACUGAGCCCCGAGUCUGGAGUGCCUUUGAGGGAGCACCUGUGGGGUGACAGCAGCGGGGAGCCCACGGCAUGGGAGUCAGUAGUGGGAGUGGGAGUCAGAAGGUACCCUAUGUACUUGCAGCACAUUUAGGUUGAAAGAAAAGACAAAGAGGCUUAUGGUAGUUUGAGGGAUAGAAUCUCCUGUAGCAUCUAAGAAUGAAUCCUCCUGUUUUUGAGUUUUUGACAGUCUUUUAGUAUUGCCUGCUGUGUGUCCCUGGUCAAAUUAUUUACCCUUUCUGUGCUUCAUUUGUAAACUGAGAAGCUACCUCCUAGGGUUGUUGUGAGGAAUAAAUGAGUUGAAGAGCUGUGUCUUGCACACAGUUAAGUGCUAUGUAAAUGGUAAUAAAAGCAAAGUAGGAAACAUGUAUAUCAACCAUCACAUUUUAGGCACUUUUCCCUGAGUAUUCACAAUAAUUAUAUAGUGUCAGCAACAGCGAUCUCAGGUCACACACACACACACACACACAAAACAACUCAGAGGCCCAAAGGGUUUUAAGUAACUUAUUUCAGGUCAUGCUGAUAAUGUGCAGUGGAACUGGGACACAGGGCUCCUUCCACCUGACUUUAAAGUCAGUGGUCCUCCCACUGGGCCGUGCUGUGUGCUGGGGCUGUUGCAGAAAGACUCGGAGCCUUCCGUGGCCAGAGGCCGCUGAGCGGUUGUACAGGGGCUGUGCAUAACCCCACCCGGCUUGGUUCACUCAUUUGUUUUAUUCGUCUGGCCCUAAUAAGUUUGCAGUCUUUGUUCUAGAAGCUGUCCCUUCUGUGGACUGGUAUGUAUUCCCCUGACUCUCCCUACUGUUCAGAUGUCAUCUUCUGUAUCUGCUUGAAAGGCAUCCUUCAGACAUAGAACUCACCUCUUAAGAAAUGCAUGGCUCAUCUGAAUUUCUUGCCUUUUUUUUUUUUUUUUGUCUUUUUAGGACCGCACCUGUGGCAUAUGGAGGUUCCCAGGCUAGGGGUUGAAUCAGAGCUGAAGACGCCAGGCUAUGCCACAGCCAUAGCAACACAGGAUCCAAGCCACGUCUGCAACCUACACCACAGCUCAGGCAACGCCGCAUCCUUAACCCUCUGAGCAAGGCCAGGGAUUGAACCUGAGUCCUUAUGGAUGCUGGUCAGGUUCGUUAACCACUGAGCCACGAUGGGAACUCCUGAAUUUCUUGCCUUUAACCUGAUCUCAGAAAGUGAAGUUGCUGUACAUUUUGAGAGGUUUUUCCUGCAGCAAAGGAAAACUGAGCACCAUCUAUUCGGAAAGGAGAGUGAUGGCUAAUUUUCUGUGUCACCUUAGCUAGAGCACAGUACCUAGAUAUUUGGUGAAACACCAGUCUAAAAAGUCUAAAAAUACCUGUGAAGGUGUUUUUAACUGAGAUUAAAUUUAAAUCAGUAGAUGUUGAGUAAAACAAAUUAUUCUCCAUAGUGUAUGUGGGCCUCAUCCAAUCUGUUGAUGUCCUUCAGAAAAAAAGAUUGUUGUCCCCCCAGGAAGAAGGAAUUCUGCCUCCAGAUGGCCUUCUGUCUGGAGACCACAGUGUCAUCUUUUCCUGGGUCACUAGCCUGCCCCAUAGUCACCUAAGUCAAUUCCUUGAAAUUCAACCUGCCAGUCUGUCUCUGCCUUUGUCUUUCUCUCUGCACACUCACACAUACCACAUCUUAUUCGCUGUCUUUCUCUGGAAAACCCUGACUCAUAUAGACAGGAAGAUACAGAUGUUGUGAAUUGUCCUGCUGCUGCUGAUAUUAGCCAAAAACUGCAUCCGGCCUCUCUAGGCAUUCUUGGUGUAGAUGUAUAUUGCUUGUUGUGUGGACAAGAAAGUGAAUUGUAGAAGGGAUGUGGUGCUCCCACUGUGAUGGAGAGAGCGAAUAAGAGAGCAAGGAGAGAACGCUGUUUGCCCAGGCAUGGUUCAGUUGCUCCCUUGCUCUUUGGCGCUCAUAUUCUCAUCAGCAGGAUAAUAAAGUUACUAGGUUGGCCGUGCAUAAUUAUUGCUCACAUUUAUGGAUGAUUUUCUAUAGGUCGGGUCUAGCUUAGUUGCUUUACAGAUGUUCAUGAUUUUAAUUCUUAGAACUACCCAUUGAGAUAGGGACUACCAUUGCCCCAAGUCCCAGAGAGCUUCUCGUAAGUAGAAACUAGAUAUUGUAUUCAGUACAAUUUAUACAAGCUUAUUUUUCCCUCUUAGAAAUAGUUAAGUUAUAAUGAUGAUGACCAAAAGAAUUACUGUCAAUGGAAGAAGCCUAAGAAUUUAUAUCCAGCUCAAGGCCUUGCAAGAAUGCAGAUUCAUUCAGUAAAAACUCAGUUAACAGCCUGCUUUAUUUCAGACUUCACUUCUUAGCUUUGGAAAGCUUCAAAGUAGGGCAGUUUACGUUUGGGAAUGACCAGUCAAAAUAGCAAGAUAGAUAUAGGUAAGAAUCUAAUGUUUUAAAAAUUUAAAUGGUAAGAGAUGGAGCAUGCAUCAAAACAGCUUGCUGGAGCUCUAAAAUUAAUAAAUACAUUUGAAAAGUGCACCCUCUCAGCCUUCUCAGACUCAGAAUUUGGGGGGGUGCAGUUCCUCUUUUUGAAUCUCUUUUUUGAAUUGUUUAUGUUUUUAGUAAGGAGGAAGAAAAAGGUCUCCUUAAGAAGCCAUUAGGAAUUAAAAUUAAUUUCAGAAUUCAGUAUUGUUUAGAAUAUGGUGAAGACUGAUUUGAAAGGGCAGUGCCCGGUUUGGUCUUCCCUGGAAAAGAGGGACAGGCGUGGUCCCAGUCAGCCCAUCUUUGCCAUGGUGGGAAAAUGGCGUUGCUUUCAUUGUCGUUCUUUCAUUCCCUUCCUUGCCAAGCCCAGUGGCUUCUGUUACAACAUGUGGCAACUUCUCCCUUGGAGACUAACUCAGUCCAUGUUGCCAUAAUAUUUAAGGCCAGCUACAAAGGCAUAUCUUCCCCUAAACCCAUGCCAAAUCUAAAUCAAACUGUCUUCUCCUCCUUGGCCAUUUCAAGAGAUCCAGCUCCUGUUUGAAAAGCACGAGAAAUGCACAGGUCCCUUUUUGUUUCCUUGCCUGUUCCAACAGGUAAAUAAACAAGGCACAUCAUGCCUAGUGCUGCUUUGAUCUUGGUUGCUUCCUUCUAAAAUAGAUUCUGGGGCGUUCCUGUUACGACACAGCAGAAACAAAUCCGACUAGAAUCCAUGAGGUUGUGGGUUCGAUCCUUGUCCUUACCCAGUGAGUUAAGGAUUUGGUGUUGCUCUGAGCUGUGGUAUAGAUCACAGAUGCGGCCUGGAUCCCAUGUUGCUGUGGCUAUGGUGUAGGCUGGAAGCUGUAGCUCCAACUGACCCCACCCUGGGCACUUCCAUAUGGUGCGGGUGUGGCCCUAAAAAAAAAACAAAAAAAAAAAAAUUAAAAUAGAUUCUAAUACCAUGUUCAUUUUAAGAAUUGCAACUUAGAUGCUCUAGAAAGAACAAAGCAUAUCUUAAGUCUGUCUACAACAAACUACCACUGUCGGUACUGAUGGAGGAGAGAUGAGUAACUCCAAAGUCAUGGGCCUUCAACAGGUGCAGCUCUGAGCUUCUCCUGGACAAGCCUCAGCUUCAAGAGGCCUGGGCCCAGGCGGGGCAGGGAGACAUCCCUAUCCUUUGUGGCCUUGGACUGUCCACCUGAGAAAAUGUAUAGGAAGGGAGAAAAACAAGGAGUUCUGUUUUAGACACAUUGACUUUGAGAUGCCUGUUGUGAUUCCAGGGAUGAUGUUGGCUCAGCAGCUGAAUGUUCAAAAGUGUAAUUCAGGGGAGAGGCCCCAGGCGGAGAUACCAGCACUUGGAUGGUGUUAUUUCUCCAGCUGUUCCUAGAGUAGCAUUUAACCCAUCAAUUGAGAUUAAUUUCUUGAAGUUCUAUCCUUCUUUUUGUUUCUGAUCAAUCUACUUGCCCGGUCACUUUCCUGAAGUGUGGCUUAUAAAAGAAUAAAUGAGACUGAGCCUCAAAGAAAGUAGGGGACAUUGCCUCUAUUACUACCUCUCUCUUGGUGUUCCGUCUGGUCCAAGUGAAACUCCCUAUAUAAAUUUGCUUUGGGAACUGAAAAAUAUAUAUACGUACUAUAUUUGAUUUUAAUGCCUUGUUAACUGUUUGCUAAUAGCUAAUAUUCACCUAGUGCUUACUUUACAUGAAUUAGCGCAUCUGUCUUCACAACAACCUGUGGCAGGUAGAUAGUCUUUUUUCAUAUUUUAUAGGUGGGAAGAGUAAAGUUCAGCAAUGGUAGACUCAGGAUUCUCAUCCACAGAGUUGGCUCCUAAAAGCUGUGCUCUUAGCUAAUAUGUGGGGCCACCCCGCUUUUCAGUGACAAGUUUUGCCUGGUUCCUUCAGCUUCAAGCUUUCAAAAAUUUUAGGGUCACAUUUCAGCGUGGGCACCAUGAACCAGCUACAAAACGGCACUCAAGGCAAAGGACCCUGGCAAAGGGCCUUGUCUACACUGACUUAGUUUCACCACUGGGCUGGCCUCAGACCUCACAGGGCACUGCCCACCUACCAAGUCUCCACUCUGUGCCCAUUUAAAAUGAUGCACUUAGGGAGUCCCUGUGGUGGCUCAGUGGUAACGAACCCGACUAGGAUCCAUGAGGAUGCAGGUUCGAUCCCUGGUCUCGCUCAGUGGGUUAAGGAUCCGGCAUUACAGUGAACUGUGGGGUAGGUCACAGACAAGGCUCAGAUCUCACGUUGCUGUGGUGGCGGAGUAGGCAAGUAGCUGUAGCUCGGAUUUGAACCCUAGACUGGGAAUCUCCAUAUGCUGAGGGUGCAGCCCUAAAAAGAAGAAAAUUAAAAUGAUGCACUUGAUUUAAGUUCCUUGCCUGCAGCCACCCAGUGAGUCAGCAGUGGGCCAGGGACUAAGAUUUGGGCCUCCUGCCUUUCAAGCCUCACACUUGCUUUGUGUUAAUAAACGGUAUUUAUGCAGAUCUGCCAGAUAUUUGAAAGUGCUUAAUUUUACUGCAGUAAAUACUAAGAAUCCUUUUUAAAGCAUGGAAACCAAGCCCCAGGCAGGGAAAACACGAUUUGCCUUCAGAGCCUUUGACAAACUCACAUUGGCACUAGGAUUAGACCAUAGCUUGUUGGCCUUGAUUCCAUCUCCUACUGAGGCUGGCUGAAGGGGUCAGGAGCCCUGCUGUGGCCACAAGGCCAAAGCUGGACCUGAAAAUACUCUUGCAGAUGAAACUGGAACACACGACGUCCUACCCACAGAGUCAGCACGUCACAGCUGACUGCCAUCAAGGGAUGCGAGGGGGAAGGUUAUAUUCCUGGGAUACUGGUGGUCAGAACCGACUGCUCUCUGCCUUUCCUUCCUUCCUUCCUUCCUUCCUUCCUUCUUUCUUUCUUUCAGAUUUUUAUUUUCUCUCUGCCUUUCUUGGCUGUGUGACAGGUGCCCUGCAGUUACCUUCCUGUGGUUGUGAACGUGCCAUAGGAAGGCCUCAUCCAUCAAGAAAAAGCUGUAGGCAUCCAAGAGAAAGGGAGAAGGAAUCGUGAAUUGUAAACUACUUGAGUGCAGAGAACGCAGGGAGUGGUUUCUUCCUUUCGUCAUCAGAAGAAGGCCAGACGUGCUGUAGACCCUCAGCCAGGGAUACAUUGUGAUAAGCUGAUAGAGAAACACUGAGAGGAAGUGUUCAGCAAAAUGAAAGCUGAAUUUCCAAGAUGGGUCUGAUUGUGUUCAGAUGAGAGCGGGGUUUGAAUGCAGCUUUCACCUGGAACCCUCAGCGUUAAGGUGCACAGGGCAUGCGUUAUUGCCUUAAUUCUCACAAUUCCCCUGGCAGCCUGGGAUGGUAGGAGCUGAUGUUCACCUCUGCGCUGACAGAAGGGCUUUAGGCAGUUGUGGCAAAAAACGGAGCCGAUGAGGGGCUGCGCUCAGCUCAGCUGGUUAAGUUUCCUGUUGGUGGCUCUUCCUCCCCAAGAUGCUUCAAGACUGCGUGCGAUAUCAAGUUGGACUUGUCUGUUCACACUUUCGCUGCGGUGCACGUGAUUUUGUCGCCACUUCCUGCAGCCCCUGUCUGUUCAGAGCCUGAGCCUUUAAGACCUGGGGCUGCAUCUCAGCUCUGUGGGUCACGGGCUGUGUGAGUUGGGCGAGUCCUCCUCAGUCCAUCACAGCGUCAGAGGCCAUGUCCCAUGGGGAAGGACACCCUGGAUGCUCCCCUGCCCCCCGCCCCAGAGCCUGGCGAUAGGAGGCUUCCUGAGCAUCCUCUUCGUGCCACAGUCUGCCUUCCUGGCUGUCACAUCUGAUGUUGUCCUCUGCCCCCAGCAUCUCUGCUUGUGAUUGGUCACGAGCUCCUCAUCGAGAGGUGUGCUUUACCAGAAGCUCCAUCUCUGUGUGAGUGGUAAAAAUGAGGAGAAUUUCUUGAGAACUCGUUCUUCCUUCACGUAAGCAUAGCCAGAGUUAAAAUCAGGCUUUGUAUUUCUGAGACAUACUGAAUGAAUAAAUAGGGAAGAAAUACUGGGCGUUUGUCACAAUUCUUAAGCUGUCCACUUAGAGAAGCAUAGCUCUGUAUUUACACACAGAUAAUUGGAAGAUUCAGUUACGGCUCGCUUUAGUGGCUGUCUGUGUCAUACGUAAUAAUUUUCACUUCAUGUUAACAGAUCACUUAGGGUUACUAUGAGAUUUGAUCAGAUAAUAGUUACAAAGACUUUUAAAUUCUGUAAAUGAAAAAAUCUGAUGAAACUGUAAAAGUGCUCCUUCUGUUCACUGAAACCAAUACGGUUGCUGUUGCAACAUUUCUUUCCUUUCCUUCUCUCUUUCCCUUCCUUCUCUCACUACUUCUCGCUUCUUCCCUUCCUUUCCCUCCUCUCCCCUCCUCUCCUUCCAUCCAUCCUGCGGGGUUUUUACAGGGAUAACACUGACACUAAUUCUGCCUUCAUGGAAUUUACAGACUAGCGGAAGAAACAGGCAGCUUUACAAGCACGCAAAGGUACUUGCAGGUUAUGAUGUGUUAUGACCAAAAAAAAAAAAAAAAAAGGCAUUACAGUAAAGAGUCUAAAUAAAACCUGGUGUGUGCUCUCCCUCUCCAUGUACAUAUUAGAAGCCAAGGAGAAUGACAGAGCUGUUCUACUGUUACCUAUCGGAGAGUAGGUUUAUAAGCAUAAAGAUUUGGUUUUAUAAAGCUACUUAUCACAGAAUCAUUCUUGGAGAUUAGGUAUUAGGAGUUUGUUUUCAUAUAGGUAAAGAAUAGAUAGGUAGAUAGACAGAUGGAUAGAUAGAUAGAUAGGAUUUUUCCUAACAAGCACAAAUGACAAUUGGUGAAAACUAAUUUCUCAUGUGUACAUUAUAAGAUUGAAUGAUGACUGUUGGUUAAGUUGUAAUAAACUGGAGGAGAAACUUCUAUUUUUUUUAACAGAUGAGUUUAGAGCAAGGAUAUACAUAUUCUCUGCCAUUUUCAGAAGAGGAAUUUGGAAAGGGAGAGCUCAUUUCUGAAGUGUUUAUGAUAGCUGUCUGUUCCUAAAGAAAAUUCCUGGAAAAUUCCCAUCACUGUCCUUAGACCGAAAUCAGGGGUUGGCUCUGCUCCUCAUAUAAGGUUCAGUGGGCAAGGGAGUGUGAAAGAAAGACAGCAUCCCUGCUGAGGAUGGCCACCCUGGCUGGCAGGUCUGCCAGCUCAGCCUAACUUGUAGGCGGGGAUACCUCUGAACGUGUGCUCGGAGCUCCAGGCUCAGCGUACUUCCUACUUCCUGUCACUUGAAAAGAGGGCUCUGGAGCAGGCUUCUUCCCAAGCCCUCCACUAAAGCAAGCAAAGAAGGUGGCAUUUCCAGAGUUUAAAUGCUGCCCUUGGGACAAACCUUGUCUCUUCUUCGAUGGCCCUUCCGACUAAAAGCAGCCAGGAUUUUUAAACCAACUGAUGUUUAUAGAUUUCCAAGCAGAGGAGAAAAUUAGAGCAGAAACCAAUUAAAGCUGAAUGGUAUCUGUAAAAUUACCUUUUUCUCAAGAGGAGUAGAACACGAGAUCAUUGAAAGUUUGUGUUUGUGAUUGAUUCUAAUUAUUCUUAAAUAAUUUAAAAAUCAUUUUAAUGUUAAGAGUUCUCUUCAUGUCCAUAUCACCAUCAUUACUUCCAUGAGGUUCUAGAUCUUUUGUAAACAGAUUAAACCUGGUGCCUUCCUUCUGAUGUGAAUUAAAUCUAGAUCCCAAUUGAUAUUUGGCACCUUCUAAAUACCCAGAUGGGCACAGCGCUUGCCUUGAAGUGAAGACGUGCGUGGGAUUUUAAUCACUUCAUGUUUUAUUUUUUCUCUUUUAAAUAUCGCCUUUUCAAUAGUCGCUUCUUAAUGAAUGACUGAUUGUUUACUGUGGUUUAUAACCAGGAAUUUGAACAUUAAAAAAUUCUAAUCAAAAUACAGAUGGAAAAAAUUUUCCCACUCGAUCUCUCAUCUCUCAGAAUAAAAAAUAUUUUGUCUUCCUUUUGGAAACUUAAUAGUUUAAGAAAUCCCAUCAUUCUCUUCUUGAAAACUUUAAUAAAUCAGUUCAGAAGAAAUUUAAUUAUAGUUCUUAAACUAUAAAAACUCUUAUAAAAUAAAAACAAGGGUAGGGCUAGAAUAAGUUUCACCUCUUGAGCGUAACUGCCAUUUGAAAGAAAAUGCAGUUAAAAAAUAAUUUUUGCUGCAUAUUCUCCAUUGUUUAAUCACCGAAAGCACUUGAACCUUUUUAAAACAGCAGGAGCAAGACACAGAGUUUAUCAUCUGCCCCAGGUAAGAUUAUUUGAGUCCAAAGACCCGAUUCCAAAACAGGCCUCCGAUCUCUACGGAGCACAAGAAAUAUCCAGGACGCCCUGAAGGCAGAAGCAGUGUCUUCUGUUGUAGGGAGUCGUAAGUGAGAGUCUGGAUCAGAGUUAUGCCCCCUUUUAUCUUUGGAAGUGAGUACCUCUCUGUAGCAGAUUAUUCCCUUGAAACAAGAUGUAACCACGGGGAAGUUAUGGAAGUGUCCAUCUAAUGAAGAAAGGAAAGAGCUUAUAAAAGGGGCCAAGUUGCUCAAGGGUGUUAUUCCUUCUGCUCAACUUCUUUUCCAAGUACGAGCACAGACGUCAUGGGAGCAGCUGUUUCCACUGCCCUCUGUUUGUUGUGCUGCUACGACACUCACACUCCUCAAAGGCGACACUUCAGGCCCCGGUUUUCCAGCUUCGGCUUUCCCAAAGGCCCCUGAGCACGGUGGGUUCAGGCUAGGGUCUGGGUUUGGUGAAAGUUGUCAGCGCGCCAGGGGCAAAGGACUGAACUUGGGACAAACCUGUGGCAACAGAAAGCUGUUCCCUGUUGCCUGAAAGCAGUGGGAUAGUGCUUUCAGAUCGUGCCUGCUGAUCACCCGGUGUGUCUAUAGUUAGCAUGGCGUUUAUAAUGGAAAUAAAUGAGCCAGCACUCAGGUAGCUAAAUAUAAUUUAUAAUUUUGAUGUAAGGUUGAAACAUGAAAGAUCAUGCUUUUCCAACUGCUGUGAUGACUUAUACAGACAACUCAUUCUAGAUAAUGGUGAGUUAAGCCUGCCAGCCUCUGAACAUUUUUCACCCAUUUGUUCAAACACCUGCAGUUGGGUGCUAAACGUGCAUGUUUCAUUGCUUGAACUUAAAUUAUAAAAUCCCUAAAGGAUGUUUCUGUCCUAGAGAAUAAGGUAAGUCUCUUGCAGAAGCGGUCUGCCUGCUCUCGUGAGCUCCUUGCCUCUCUCAGGGCCUUUGUGCCAGCCCCUCUUCGAAGAGGCCUGCUUUGAAAUUCAGGAAACUCAGCUCUUCAGGGAAAAUGCAGAGGUCUGAACCCUGAGCAAAAUCACCACAGGCCUUCCCUGGGGAGUCCAUUCUGUUAGAAAUAAGCUUAAGGCAGGAGCUCUACUUUACCCAGAUUUCUUGAAGGUGAUGACGAGUGUGGUCUCAGGUCUGUUUUAUCAGCACAGAGGCUGCCUCUAUUUUUAAGCUCCAGACAUUCACCUCUGCUGGGGCUGACUCUCUGCAGCCACAGAAAAUACCCGAACGAGAGGAAAAUGGGCCUUCCACAGAGCAGGGCGCUGUGGGCUUGAGCCCUGUUAUUUGUCCCUCCAGUGGUUCCUAGCUGUUGUGACGUCAAGGCUUCCAUUCAAAGCAGAGAAAAAGGAAACCGUGGCCUCUCUUCGCAUCAGUAGCCCGUUCAAGCUGUUGUUUCUCAGGCAUCCACAACGCUCUCUGUCUGGCAGAGCUGUGCAUUCCAUGCCUGGGUGACCUGGUUAAAUGGAGGAAACCAAAUGCUCUCUGCUGAAUGCUCUCCAAAACAAGCAUUCCACCCUGAGCUCCCGAAGCCCAGCCUCACUGCUUCUGAGGACUGUAAAAGGAGCCGUGGCGAACUCUGUAUUAUCUGCUUGCAUAUUCAGCUUCUACUUAGGCCUAAAAGCAAGCGUAUCAUUACCAAUGGCCUUCAUUAAUAUACACUGCAGCAAGAUUAUGCUGCCUUUGGGGUUAAUGCUACAAAAUCCUUUUAGGAAAGCCAGUGCUCUGUUAAAAACCUUCAGGAAUCAUGGAAGUCCAAAGCCACUAAAUAGCCACUUCUUCCCAUCACACGUCUGCUCACCUCAUUCCCCAAUGUCAGGUUUCCGAAUUCUAGAAAGUCUCUUGUAUUUACUUACAUAUUAAUUUCACAUGGUGCAUUAUUGAGCAUGUAUGGCUUCUCCAUGGAUAUGAAAAAGAAUCUCUACUGUAUGGGGUAGAUCACAGGCACUGGAUUUUUCCUUACAAGAAGUAUCAGCUUUCACUUUUCAGAGAGAAGACACUAUUUCAAAGUAUCACAGAGCCACGCUUUCUUUAGGAACAAGCCAAGGUCCCUACAGCAAACAACCAUCCUGUGAGACCAAAAGCUCACUAAUAAUGAAUUGAUUGCUUAACUCACAUAUCUCAGAAUUUAAUUCACUCUUCAAAGGGCACACCUUCUUGGGUUUCUCUGGCAUGGGAGACCACAUUAUUUUAUUAGGGUCUCAGAGGUGGACCCGAUCGUCACUAGAAAAAGCACAACCACCACACUUCCAGAAUUGUCUCAGUUAAGUCAGUAGUAUACUUUUGAGGUUUUCUGUUACAAAUCUCAUUACCUCUUUCUCAAAAAUAGCCCCUCUCUUGAACCCUUGAUUGAAGGAUAUUUGCAGAAGCCCAAACCAUUUAAUUUUAUACACAGGUAUAUAUACUACAUUUUAUGUCAGGAAGGAUCUUGAUGUACAGUGGGGCCUUUUUAUUUUAUUUUUUUGAAAUUUUUUAAUUUUAUGAUUUUUAUUUUUUCCAUUAGAGUUGCUUUACAGUGUUCUGCCAAUUUCUACCGUACAGCAGAGUGAGCCAGUCAUACAUAUACACAUGCACUCACUCCUUUUUUCACAUCAGCCUCCAUCACGCUCCAUCACAAGCGACUGGAUAUAGUUCCCUGUGCUAGACAGCGGGAUCUCAUUGCUUAUCCACUCCAAAUGCAGUAGUUUGCGUAUAUUAACCAGUGGGGCCUUUUUAAAGUGGAUGAUUAUAAAAUGAAGCUUCUUCCAGAUGAUGAACUCUUGUCUUUGGGGGAAAAAGUAGAGGUCUUCAGGUAACUGGAUAAAAGGUGGAAUCAUGGAGUGAAUCUGGUCAAGUUAGGAUUUAUACCGCAGGUUUACUAGACUCCGGUCUAGCUUUACCUACACAAUCAGACUUGCCCAAAGGCAGGCCUAAUCUCUGCCACCAUGGAUACAGCAGUGGGGCUGGGGCAUAGAGCUGACGAGGGUAUAUUGUUUGUGGGUGCAUUGGACUAGGUAAGCCUAAGAAUCUUGAAAUGAGAGGACACCUAGGACCUGACUUUCCUUUUGGGGCUAGAGAAUUAGUCCUUUUGUGGUUCGCCACUAUCUGCGUAUCAGUAAUCCCUUUAUUCUUCCUCUUCGUAUUAUUACCAUUUCAUGAGGUCCUUAUUAUCUGAAGAUAACUGCUACCAGAAAACUACGACUUUUAGAGAAUUGACCUAAAACACAAAUCAAGUAUUUAAAGCAAACAGUAAAUUUUUUUUAAAAUUGGGAUUAAAUCUUGGAAAGUUUUUCAGAAGUUGAAUCUCAGUUUGUUUUACAUUAUAUAACAUAAAUUUCGGGUAUGAUACAGCAGUAUGCUAUUUCUUAGACCGAAGAUUGAAUGUUUGCUUCUGUGGCAGAAUUCGAGGGUGAUUUUUGUUAUAAGCAUUAAUUUCUCCAAGGACCUCUGUUAGUCUUUUGUUACACAAACCAUUUUUUUUUGAAGAGCCUACCUCUCGUGUAAUCAUUUCUGUUGACUUUUGCUUUCUCAGUUGUUAACUGUUCAAACUCCCUUUGAUCCUUAUUUGUCAGUGACUGUGUGUGACUCAGCCUCACCUUUAUCAACUAUGUGUAAAACUGCAGUUUCAUGUUACAAGUGAACUACGCUCUAUUUGCAUUUUUAUUCUGUGAUACUAACCAACCAAGGAAGUGAGUGGGAAUAGAUGCUGAGGAUUAAAUAGAUGAAGACAAGAGACGAAGUGGUCACUUCGUCAUUGUUUUUAAUAUUCUGAUGAUCGGUGCUUCCUUAAGUAGCCUGGUAACCACUGGGACUCAGAGAAUGAUCACUCUAGUAAUUAGGGACACCCCCUCCCAUAUUAUGGUACAUUUAAAGCACUCGAGAUGGCUUAGUGGGCUUUAUAAUCAACCACAUGUAGAUUUGUAUGCCAUUCCUGGCACUUAAUAGGUUUUAGGGCAAAUUAUGGACAGAACCUCAGGUUCUCGGUGUGUAAUGUAGAGUCAUAAAACCAACCUUGUGGAGUGGUCAUGGGAUUAGAGCCCAUAAAAUUCCUGGAUAUUGCAUAGUGUAUGCAGCUCAAGAAACAUUAUCCCUCUUAGGGCUGCUUGCAUUUCUAUCAGGUCUUGUAAUUUAGGAGGCUUUGACAUUCAGUCCAGGCUGAGGAACUUCAACUUCAGCAAAGUCACUGAAGAAUUUUAAGGUGUGCUGUUACCCGAGGAAACUAAAUUUCAGAAGAUGAUAUUUGCUGACUCUGUCUGUCAUGAAUUAGAUCGUAUAAUGAGAGCCAUUUUCUUUAUGCUGUAGGUGAGAACCCUGAGGCCCGAGGAAAUCAUAUAACUUUCUCAGGACCCUGUGGUUUGCAGCUGGCACAGCCAAACCCAGGACCCAGUCUUCCUACUCUUGACUGUGCCUUUUCUGCCACAGUUGCUCAUGGGCAAGUGAACCACUUAAAAAAGGCUGUCAUACUUGUCCAAGAACUAAGUGAAGGAGGGCCGACAUAUUUCUUAGAAGUGGGAAUGGCUGGAAACAAGUGUUGAUUAGACCUGGCGACCGACUGGCUCAGCACUCCUCCGUUAAAGAAGGAGGUCAAGGGUCCAAGCUUUCCAUCCCGGUCAGAUGGCCAUACAAUUAAUUAAACUCAAAUUAGCAGAAUUUGUUGGUUUUGUGGUUUCCCAAUGAAUUUAAAGGGACCACCCUGUCAGUUGCAAGUAUUGACAGUAGGAGAAGGUGCCUGUGCUGAAGAAAUAUAUUUGAGACUCUAAUGCCGAAGAAGGACAGUUGAAACCGUUGUGCUCUGUAGAAGUAUAUGCACCUCUGUGUGUGCGUGUGCUCAACGGGAUCUUGUGGCAUAUUCCCACGUCAAGGCCUUACUGCCCAGUUAUCAUUCUGCCCAGUUAUCAUUACAAACUGUUCUACCUCCGCCAGAAAGAAGCGCUGUUCCCAUAGAUUCUUCCGUGUCUGUGUGUUUGUUUUGUUGGAUGGAUCCUGCUGCGGCCCGGAGAGACAGACUUUGCUGGGCCCUGUUUUGUAAACAAAUCUGUUCAUGCACACUCUCUUCUAUCAUUGUAUGUGUACACUGGCUCUGCUUUUCCCACCAGACACACAGAAGCCUAGGAAUUUAGAAACUUGUUUUCGUCUAGAAGUGUGCAGGCAUCCAAGAAAAAUGUACACACGCAUCUUAAAUGUGCUCAUCUACCCCACCUAAGUGUUUGACCCUUCUUGAUUCUAACUUGGGGCCGUGAACUCGGCAUGAACAUCGCAGCCCACUACACACACAGGGUCCCCCUAGGGGGGCAUCCUUAAGCUGCCACUAACCUAUUGAUGAAGCUCAGUAAAUUGAGAAAGCUCUUUUUCACCCUUAAAGUUCGUGUGGGCCAUAACUGGAAUUAGUCCACCAAGAUGAUAAAGCAUGAUACCGGUUUUUCCAAGGAGAGGUGAAGACCCUUUCUCAGAUUGGAAUAUGGACUUGUCAUAUGUAUCCAUACAGUCACUUCCUACCUGUAGUUUUUUGGAUAUUUCAUUUACUAUUCCAGCCAAGUUCAAGUUUUAUGACAGGAAGUAUGUGAAUGGUUAUAACAGGAGUAAAUAACAUUUGAUUUUAUGAUUACAGUACAGGAAGUAACUUUUCACACCAAAUCAAUCUUGGAGGGGAAAAAAAAGUGCCUGCUUAUAAAUGUAACGUACAUAAAUUUCCCAAAAGCUCUGCUCUCUUAAGUGGAAAUAAAACCAGAAUGUGUUCUUAUUUCUUUCUUUUCCUAAUUUUUCUUAUCAACAAAUGUCUUUGUUUUGGGAAGAGGUAUUUUUCAGUAUUUUACUGUGACCCAAUAUGACAGGGACCCAUUAAAAAAAUUCUAAGUGAAAAUAAUAAGGCCAAACUUUAUAGAAUAAAUAGCAUGAAGAGCUUGAAUACCCUUCUUUUCCCUUGAAGAGUAAAAUAAGCAAAUUAUCAACCACCAUCGAAGCCAAGGCGGGCCCCUAGCUUUUAAUCCUGCCGAUUUCCAUGUUCCAUAAACACGUGGGAAAGAGAGUUUCAGCAGCUCUGCAGAUGAGCAAGUUUACGAGAAAAGAAAAAAUUGAGCAGAACUUCAAUUAUGUCAUCAUAGGAGAACUUACAUAGAGGCUUUGUUUUUCCCUGACUUGAAGAAAGAAAACAGGAAGGAAAGAUUUUUUUCUCUCAUCUUUCUCUGCUUCUGAAAGCCUGAGGCGCUUGUAGUGAGAAGCCGUCUAACUCACACAUUCCUGAGGACUCAUAUUAUACACAUAUGUGUCCCACAAGUGAGUGGAUGCCUGACAGUCUGAUCACGCUACCCGAGAAGGGCUUUGCAGUUCUAGUGCGGGCACAGCCACCGUGGGGCGCAGCCUUGGCAGAGGUUCGAGCCUUCCCUCUGGGACAGGAAGCCUCACUUCACCACACUGACUGAAAACCGGAUCUCUAAGAUCCCUUCUACCUCUAAAACUCAGUACCACACAUUUUGCAAAGAAGUCGUUUAAGCAAAUUACACAAAACUGUUCUCGGGAACAAACAAAUGUGUUAGAGUUACCGGUACUUAGUUCCCAUUGGUGUUUUUUGAAUUCUGCAGAGAAUAUAUUUGCAAGUGGCACGCGUAAAAACCUGCCUUGAGUAAUAUUCAAGGCAGUUUCGUAAGAGAGGUUUCACCUGACACUCAUCGAACCCUGGUGCAAGGGGCAGACGUGCUGAGGGAUGGCUCCAGCAGAGCCGGCAAGGGCAGGCUCCCUGGAUUCAAAUGCCACCUCCAACCACCUGCUGAUGGCGUGACUCUGGACAAGUCUUUCAACUCCUAGGGGCCCUGUUUCCUUAUCGGUAGGAAGGGAAUAACUAAAGAAUCUCGAGUUGCCAGGGGGAUUAAAUGAACAGAUCCCGAGUAGUUUCUUGGUAGUGCCUAAACCGGUCCUGGGCGUCAGUUGGCUUUUAGCACAGGCUAUUAAACCGGCUUAAAGAGGUUGGGUGAUCUGAACCAGGGCAAAGAGCAGCUCAGAAAAGAGGUGGGAGUGGAACACGAGGCCCCCUGACUUCCCGUGUUGGGUCACGUGCCCUUCCUGCUUGAGGCCACACCCCCUCCUUUCUAUAACAGUGCCGCCAAAGAGUGCACUCCUUCCCGUUGUUUAAGAGCAAACUUUCAGUCAGUGACCACUAUGAAGAACAUUUGUGACAGGGUUUUGUUCCGUUUGGGGAAGUGAGGGGACGGUGGGCCCAGGGGUCUGGAGAGCAGACACUGAUUCUGUAAACUUGGGCUUGAAUGAUGUCCACAGCAGAACAAAUUACAGCAAGACCUGAGUGUCCCUAUAGUCUGAUCCCAUUUUAAAUACCCAACCUUAGGAAUGGUCCUUCCCCCUCCCCCAUUUACAGGCGUUCCUAGCAGGCCACAGCUUCUUGGCGACAGUCACGUCUGUUGGGUUCACAUUCUCUGUGUUAUUCCCCACAAGCAUGUAUUUUUAUGAUCUUUAUCCUAUUUUGCUCUACUUUUCCUUUCUCUUUUUAAGACAUCAGCAUUGGCCACCCAGGACUUAAGAGGAAUUUUCAUAUAAAGCACAGUCUGUGAUGGGAACAACUUGCACAGGAGCUUUGGGAACUGUGAACCUCUGUGUGAACGUGACACAGGGAGAGGGGACAUUAGAUAUGCUAAUAUUUGAGUAGCCUUCUGGCCUCUAAUUGUUCACCAGCCUCAAUCAAUAAGAUUUUUGUAGGUCGUAGGUAUGUGCAGUUGCACCCCGUGUAGGGUUCCUGUCCUUUUGACGUUAGGCUGGGUGUUCCCCUGUCUAUUGAGCAAGUUCCUAAGGUCUUGAGAGUGAGGGCAGAGGGAUGCCUGUUGUAUAGCAUCGUUGGUUUGCGUUAAAUUCUUCAGUUCAGUUAUUGAUGCUGUUUUUAUUCAUCCUCAAUUUGAAGAUUAUAUUCAUGCCAUGCAAGUGGUUUCCAUAUUCUUCUUUUUAAAAUAUCAAUACAGUAAAAUUAUAAAAACAUACCACAUUCAUGAAAGUUUCCUUCCAGAGUAUAGAUGCAGAUGGUAUUAUUAUUAUUAUUAUUAUUAUUAUUAUUAUUAUUAUUUUGCUUUUUAGGGCCUCACCUGCAGCAUCUGGAAGUUCCCAGGCUAAGGGUCGAAUUGGAGCAACAGCUGCCGGCCUACACCACAGCCACAGCAACGCAAGAUCCCAGCCGAAUCUGCGACCUACACCACAACUCACAGCAACGCCAGAUCCUUAUCCCACUGAGUGAGGCCAGGGAUAGAACCUGCAUCCUCACGGAUACUAGUUGGGCUCGUUACCACCGAGCCACAAUGGGAACUUCCUGGUUUUAGGAAUUUUUUUUUACAUGUAUUCUUGAUGUUUAUCUUGAGCGUUCAAAAAUGAGAAACAUAGGAGCUGAGGUUUAAGUAGCAAAUUGUCACCACAUUAGAAAUUAAGGGCUUAGCAGAGUUCCCAUUGUGGUGCAGGGGAAACGAAUCUGAAAAGGAACCCUGAGGUUGCGGGUUUGAUCCCUGGCCUCGCUCAGCAGGUUAAGGAACCAGUGUUGCCGUGAGCUGUGAUGUAGGUUGCAGAUGUGGCUCAGACCUAUCUGGUGUUGCUGUGGCUGUGGAGUAGGUUGGCAGCUAUAGCUCCAAUUAGACCCCUAGCCUGGGAGCCUCCAUAUGUCACAGGUGUGGCCCUAAAAAAAAAAAAAGUGAAAAGAGGAAAAAAAAGAAAUUAAGGGCUUAGCGAUGCCAUGUAACAAAUUACGUGAACACAUUGGAUCUGUUUGUUUUUAUUCUUUGGUCUCAUUAAGUGGAAGCUUGUGUUUUUCUCCUCCUGCCAUCAUGAACCGCCCCCCCCAAUUCCCACCCAAGAUAGAAGCGCAUUAAUAGCCUGAAAAUAAAGGACAGGCUUUUUCUAAGCUCCUCUUUUAGCAAACUGUCUACUAGUCCCUUCAGAAAAUGAGCUCUGUCACAUUGAUGCUCUUUAAGAGAAAAGCAAUUUUUCUUACUCAAUUUGCCCAAUUGUCAAGAAAUUCUACUCUGCUAUAAGUGAUCAGGUUUGGUUAAAGUCGAGAGAAAUACAUACAAAAGGUCAUAUUUUACUCCUUUGUGGUUGGCUUUCAAAGGAUGCUUUGAUUCGAAAACCAAGCAGUCACUGUUAACAUGAUGAGGUCUUAAAACAAGUGUUUUUCUGCCCCCAUCACAGACAUAUCUGAAAAAGGCCCCUCUUCUCCCAAACCCCAGGGAUGACACUCAGAGGCUGUGUCUUCAGUGUCUCAGCGCCCAGGAGGGAAGAUCAUUUCCAUAUUUGAAAUUUAGGGGCAAGCGGAAAUAACUUUGUUUUUCUCAAAGGGUUAAUACUCUAAACAGCUUCAGAUUGGUUCACUCGCAUCUUAAAAUUACUUUUCUGGUCACGCGCACUGAAGGUCUAAGCAUUUGUGAAAUGUCUUUUUCUUUUUCUUCCUCCCGAUGCUGUGCUGUUCUCUUCUGGCUGUCUUAAUUACACAAGGGUUGAGAAACCAAAUUAAAAUUAGGCGUGGCUGGUAAACAGCGAUCACGUUGCCUGCUUUCAGCUUUGCUUGUUGGAGUUACUUCUCCUUGUAUCACUUUCCUUCCCACUUUUUUUUUUUCCAAAGGAAAUAUCAUGAGCUCUUUUAGAAAUACUCACAGGAAGUGAGUGUCCACACGCCGGUUAUUCACCAGCUGAGCGCUGACAGGUGGAGGUACUGCUGCUGCCCUCCCAGAUUUAUUUGAGCAUUUCCACCAGAGCAGGGGAGUACUCGGGGUAUACAGACCAAAGGGGUUUUGUGUACUGAGGGAGUUGUGAGAGGAAAUUGGUCAUCGCUCGUCAUCGUGGUGGACAGUGACUCAGGGAGCUGUGAUGAGGGGUCAGCAAGGCACGUGGCCGCCGUCUCUGAGGUCUCUGCUCCCUACUCAGGGGGCGGGCUGUCUUCUAAAAAUGAAUGCUCCCUCCACCGCCAGCAACGAUUCUUGUGCAGUGAAUCACUUCCAGAAAUGAAUAGCCACAGUUUUUUGGAAUGAAUGUUGUGAAAUCCCUCGUUUAUAAUGGCAGGUUUUCCGUUGGUGGUUUUUAUCAGAGAGAAUUUCUCAAGAUCAAAACGAAACCUCCUCUUUACAAAGAAAGAAAGUACUCUCGAUACAGAAAGCAAAAGUAUUUCCACUCUCCUCCUGACGAGCUGUCACAGAAGAUCUCUGUACCUGUGUUUAGAGAUCCACGUCCAUGUACUUGCCUGAACGCACGAGUCCUUGAAAUCACGAGUUCAUUGCCGUAACUGGUGGUCUCCUAUGCAGCAGGUUGCUAACUCCGAGCAGUGUUAUGUGCGGUGAGUAGGUGGUAGACUCCGAAGAUCAUUGCUAAUCCAGUGUUCGUCCUCUUGAGUCAUGGAUUCAGAGGACUGCCAGCAAGCUCUUAAAUACUUGCUGUGCCUUAUAUGAUUUAAUGCAUGGAGCUGCAAGACUCCCAGAAGCCUGUGAAAGGUUUUGCAGAGCGUGGAUUAAUUGAAUAAUCUUUUGAAUAUACUAGUCCUUGGGAGGAAGAAAGGAUGUCUUACAGAAGGAAGCAGUUUGUGGGUCUCUUAGAGCUACAGUUACUGCUCUCCUGUAUUUUAAGUGUCACUCUAUCCUCUUGUGUGAAAGAAAUAAAUGACUGCAUGGUUUAAUGGAGAAGAAGUUACGCCAGCUCUUUUGAAAUGAAGAGACCUUCACCCACGUGUUACUCCUCGCUGGACUGUCGUCCUCCUGCCUCUUCACACAGAGCAAGUUUCCACGAGCGAGGCUCCCCGUCUGGCAGCAUCAGUGAUGCGCCUCAUCCAGAACCCAGUGGGCCCGCCAUGGGUUACUGGCAGCACUUUUAUCGAGGGGCAAAGAGAGGAAAUCCAGUUCCUGGAAACAGGGAGUGCAGUUUCAGAAAUCCUUCUCCCUCCCGAGUGGAGAAGUUGUUUGACCUACUGACUCAUUUCAUAGGAAUUGGGAAAACAACCUAGUGUGGUUUUCAUUGUUCAUCCUGGAGGCUUCCAAAAUCUGCGUCUGUGCAAAUAAGAUGAGCUGGAGAAAGGUAGUGUUGCCACUUGCUGUUUCUACCUGCCUGGUCUCCCGAUGGGAUUCAGUCUCUUGCUUCCAGCGCAAGUCCAGCCUGUGCCUGGGGCUCCGUUGUGUGCCUGUCCAGUGGUUCCAGUUUUUCUCUCAGAAGAUCCUGAGGCCUGCUUCUCUUCCUGGACUGUAUCUUUACCUGUGCUUCUCUCUCUUCCUCGUCUGUUCACCUGCUGACACCUGCUUAUUCCUACCUAGGAUUUGUCUCAGGUAUCACCUCCUCCAGGGAGCCUUCUGCGUUAUGUUAGAUAAUGUGAUGUAUGUGAUGUAAUUGAGAGAGGAGACUUUUUCUCUGUAUCACAGUGUCUGGCAUGUUACUGUCGCUUGCUACUCGUAGAAGGAAUAAAGAAGACAGGAUAAAACAGGCGAAGACCCAGAUCACUGAGUGUUCCUCUUGGGUGUGACGGAGCUGGGCCGAGAGUAAAGGCACGCAGCCGGACAGUGCAGGUGGAAAGGUGCUCCAUCACCUGUCACCUCUCAGGGCAGCCCCAGUCCCCUCUCCUCCUGCCCAGUCGGUCAUCUUUGAGCAUGCUUCAGCCACACCACUCUCACUCGAGGCGCUUCUGUGGAAGAGUUCCAGCUUCUUUACCCUGGCUGUCCGGACUCUGUCCACCUGGACCACACACCAUUUUUGACAUGUGCCCUAGCUAGCGUCCAUCGUCUAGGACUCAGGAAUUAUUUGUUGAUGGUCUUAACUACUAGGACUCAGGAAUUAUUUGCUGAUUUGCUUAACUACUUACUGACAGACAGUAUGGCAAAAGCGCAUCCUGAAGUGUCCAUUAAGACGUAUGCUAAACCAACUAUACUUUAGUUUUUUGAAAAGAGCAAGGAAGGAGAAAAGACGUGAGCUUCCGACCAUCUGUGGGUUUGAGGCGCAGUGCUGGCCGCAGUGCCCAUUAGAGAGCUCUGUGCCUGCACAGAGCUGACAGCCCAGCCGGGGAGGAGACGGGACAGUGCAGGCCACGCUAGGGAACCAGCAGCAGAAAUGACCGUGUCGCAAGGCAGUGUGUGGUUAAUGGCCAGACACACGGCUCAAGAAUGAAUCGUGUAGGUUCUCCACUCCAAAAGGACAGAAGCCAGCCUGGCCGCCUGUUGACCCACGUCACACAGCACAGGUACCCUGCCAGUCGCGCAGAACCCACCCCCCUGACUCCAAAGCUACAGAAAUACUGAAGAGAAUGUGCCGUUUGUCUCUGUAGCGCCCACAUUCCCUGAAAGACUCUCUCCUCCCCCCCUCCCUUCCUUGUCCAACUUUGUCCCUCCUUUGAGAGGCUCCUCUUCCUUUCAGAGCAGCCUAGAGACCCUGAGUACAGCCUGCUGACCCUGCAGGCAGCUUCUGCCAUGGAGUGGAGGGCGGUGCUCGUGCGCUUCUGUCCUGUGAGGGACGUGCACCGCCGCAGGGACCGUGUCUUUUCCCUCCAGCACCUGACGCUCUGCGACAUGGAGCACAUGUCCCUUAAGCGUUUGUCAUUGACCGAAAGGACUUAACACGUUAGAGGGGCUGAGUAACAUGGGUUGGCUUUAUAGGGUUAAGACAUGAAUGCUGUGAGUGCAGAAGAGGGUGACAAGCCAGAGUGGUCCAGGGAGACUCUGCAGAGCAAGCAGGGAAUAUUGGGCUGGGCCUGGGAGGCUUCGUACAUUUAAAAUGGGCGGAGAACCCCAGGUGGAGUAGCUCUGUGCCUGUGAUUGCUGCCAACCCAGCUGGUCUCUCGAAACAGGAAAACAGACCAGAGGGAGGGAGCCCUGCAGAGCCAGGCAGUGGGGGCAGCUUGUUUUAGUUGGAGCAGAGGGUUUGUCUAAAGGAAGGAGAGAGAAUGCCCUGGCAGAAGGAUGGACUUAGGAUGGAUUUAGGUGGUGGAAAGACCUCAAAUGCAGCGGGGUAUCUUGUCGGCAGCGGGCGCUGUGGAUUACUUUUGACAACCACAGUGACCUGAUGGAAGUGGUGUGGAAUGUGGGAGCUGCCCUGUGGCCCUGCCCUCAGUUUGCAUCACAGCCCAUGGUCCAGGUGGUCACCACGAUGCUUAGGACCCAGGUGUGAAGCCCCUCGACUGCACAGCGCUUCACCUUGCGGGGCUGGACCUGCCGUAAACAGCGGCUCUCCUUCCGGCAUUGCCCUUGACCUGGCUCUGAGCUGUUGAGGCUUUGGGUCCAUUCAGCUCUGUCCUGUCCCUCCACCCUCGUGACUGGCAAUGACCCGGAAGGGGGCAGCACCCCCGCAGCAGGUGGCCUCCAGAGCUGAGUCACUGCCCUGGGAAUGGUGCCCUGGUGAGGCUGGCUCAGGCAAAUGGGCGAGCUCUCCGCCCUGGCAGAGCCCAGAGCCCAGGAGAAAUAGAUUCCUUGUGCAUCUAGAGGCAUCACUGAGCUGAUAAGAAAGUGAAGUAAAGGCAGCUGGAGACCCAGAAGCAAACUGUCCCAAUGAUAGUUUCUAGCUGGGUCUUUGGCAGAGUCCAAAGCAUUUUUCUCACAAUUAAACGUACGGGCCGUGGUUGUUUUAUUUGAACACACCAAAAUUAUCCAUUUACGGAUACCCUUAAGAAUGGAAUGCAAAGGAGUUUAAGAUAAUGUCUUAAGAUUCUUUUUGACCUUGUAAAUUACAAGCGCUUAAGGAAUGAGCUUAAGGAUUAAAAUGAUCUGGAGAGUUAUUCUUGGAAAUUAAUAAAUGAAGUUUAGGUCUUUUUUUUUUUAACACGUUUUCUUUAUCAUUCCUAAAUACUCUGAUGGAUGUUGUUUUUUGAAAAUGAUCCUGCUUUUAAUUCAUCACAGAGAAGAUAGAAAUAUAGUGUUGCUUUUGAAAGGAGGGUUUUUUGGGUGGUUUUUUUUCCCCUAAGUCUGGCUUGUUUACUACACCAAUGAAUAGAGAUGACCUCAGUCUGAAAAAACAAGCUAACCAUACUCUCUCUCCUUGCCUGGCAAAAAAGGCCUUUAUCAAGUAGCAAAAGACAGCAAGUCAGACCACCAAGUCAUCAUUUUAGCUGAUUAGAUUUUCCAAAAGACAGAACAGUAAGCUCUCCACGUUUUCACUGCUGAGCAGUGGCUCUUGGGAAAUACUCCCAACUCAGUUUCUGUAAAACCUUAAAAAGUCUGGUGACAGUUACUCAGACAGCUGCCCGAAUGCAGAUGCUACAGAUGUGGUUGCCCAUGCCCUCGCCCCUGUGAGAUUUCAGAAUGGGAGAAAAUAGCAUCACGUCUCUUGCUUUUUGAGUACGAAAUUUUUUAAUUAAAAAAGAAAAAAAAAAGCCGAAUUCUUUGUUCCUUUACACGCCCAGUUAAUUCUCUGCAGCAGAAGUGUCCCUGGGGGCCCAAACCCAGUCAUCUUCUCGGGCAAAUGGCCUUGAGCGCCGCGUGUCUGCGUGCUCUCACUGUCCUGGGGUGGUUUUCAGCAAGUCCCUGGACCUCAACUACUUAGUUCCCAAAGAUGCUGUGAGCCUGUGACUUGGAAGUUGGGUUUUUCUCUGUUAUGUUGUUUGUUUACUUUCCAUGAGCCACACAGAAAUCUGGUUGGACAGUCGAAGGGUUCCCACUUUCUCUCCGGGGAAGAAUUCAAGCGGAUUCUACCAGAGACCAGAACCAUAUCCUGUCUCCUACAACCUUUGUGGUUUCAGAUCAAUAGGAGGCCAAAUCGAAAUGCAUUGGAAGUUCAAUUGACUUUAGAAUCCACUCCAGUCCAAAGAAUCUCUAGAUUCACUGCAUUUGGGCGUGUGGUUUGGGGAAAGAGGAUUUUUUUUUUUUUUUUUUUUUAAAGGAGGGUAGCUUUAUUCUUUAUUUUUUGACCUAUGUGGGAAGGGAGAACUGACCUGAUUUGGGGGAGAGGUUACAAAAAAGUCAAUCCCGGUGAAAGACUGGUGAGCAUUCUGCCCCCACCUGAGGACGGCCUGCGCCUGUGAAAAAGCCGGGGAAGGGACCGACAUGACAGCGUUGACGCAUCCUGGCGUCAGAAGGCCUUAGGGAAGCUCUCAGGCCCUGAUGAGUUAAAAAGGCAGAGGCAGCCAGUCAGCGAGUGCCCGCCUGGGCACGGAUUUGUUUAUCCUGCCCUUCUGAAGUCAGAGCCAACAUUCUUCAUGGCUUUGAAUGAUCCGGAAUGUUUCUCUCUUGGCAGGGCCGGCUUUGCACACACGGGCGUGUGUACGACUCAGGCCCCCGAGAUGUGGGCCAAAGCAGAGCCAGCCUCAGCCGAGGUGUCGCAUCUCAGAAUCGUCUUGUUUUAGAGCAAAAGGGAAACUGUCACACACAGCUGCUUGUGUCAGAGAUGGAGAGACCGAACCUGGGUGGUGGUGGCCAGAGGUCACGGAACUGGAGGAGGGCCAGCGGGAGCCAGGCCGCCCGCCUCUGACCGCACGGCUCCUGUCCAAGCCCGGGAAGAGGCUCCAGGGCGCCCUUGGCCUCCCAGCGGGAGAGGCCGCUGCCCUUUGAGGAAUGCUUAGAAAAUGACUUGGGUCAGAAAGGAGAGCCUCAUUUUUACAAAAUGAAACAAAUCAGUCAUUUAUUCGUCAUAGGCAGCUUUCCCCAAACUUCCUUUGUCAGUGCGGCCAAUUUAUUAGCUCCUGGGCUCCCAGAAAUAAGAAAAACACUGUCUCUAUCUGUGCGCCAAAAUGGGAGACUCGACCUACUCCCCCCCACUUUUCUUUUCUCCUUUUGUAGAUGAGAACUAACUAUUUCACGCUAGUUCUUAAUAAAACAAACGCCGACUCCUUCCCGCAGGAGACAGAAUUGAGCAAUGUUCUGAGAACACGCUGUGCUCCUUGGGGCACUGAGUCAAUGUGCUGUUUUAGAAGAUGCUCCAGAAGCUUGGAAGUGCCUCUUGGGAGCGAAGCAAAAGGGGUGGAGCCGGGAGCAGUGACUCACCCUUCCUGCCUGGCGGCGGCAGGGAGCCUCCAGGAGCCUGGAGGAGAGGACUCAGGCCCCAGGAGUUCCCGCUGGGCCCACGCGCCUCCGUGUCCUCUGGCCCCACCACCUCUGCACCCAUGAGAGCCGCGGAGGAAGCUCUCUCCUCCUGGCCCUCUGCCCGCCGCUUCCAGGAGCCCUGGGAGGACGAUGUAUCUGUAUAAGGACAACCUCCUGAGCCGAGAGACGGUCACUUACCUGAGGAGGAAGAGCCAGUCAGAGCUCAAGGGCUGCAGGGGCCUUCCGGGAGGCGCUGGGGCUGCAUCUAUGGCUUUGUUGUUACCAGCGAGAAGCGAGUCCCUCAGUCCCAGUAACAGUAAAUGCCAGCUGCCUCCCAGUCCAGGGAGACGGUGCCGCCGGGAAGACCAGCCCGUGACCAGCUUCUAGCAUGACUUGAAGAAAAAAAUCACCAUGUUUCGUGCACCUCAUCACCGGUGUUGCCUUCGUCUUUCAGUGCUGGCUCUAACCGCGUGGCUGUUGGUUAACCCCUCCACGAGAGAUGGACUGUCCCCCGGACGUGGCCCAAGUUGGUUCCAUACACGCUGUUUUCCUUCGGAGCCCUUGUCACAUCCUGUCGUCAUCGGUUUGCUUACACUGGACUCACCUGCCUUGUUUGCUCUCGUGGCCUCUGAGCCUCAUUCACCUCCUGGUACCUCAUAAUCUCGGUGAACCUGUGACUUGUGAACAGGUGCACGUGGCUGGAGUACCUCAUCCCAGCUUCUGAUCCUCUCUGUCUUUUCCUGGACUCGGACACCCUGGCUGAUUUGCUAUCCUUUCCUCCAGAGAAGCCCCCAGAUCCACAGCUUCUACGCACUGAUGCCCAAUACUUGUCUUUCCUACCAAUUUCCACAUGCUGACUGUCACAUCUAUGGAAAUGUUAUCCAAUGAUUCUUCAGUGUUCCCCGUUCCCAGGAACAGGGGAUGGGGAGUGGGGGGUACCAUUUCUUGAAGAGCUAGGUACCUGUGCCUUAUUUGAGAUACUUACAGGUUCACGACUCUGAGAAUCAACACUAUUAUUUCCACUUUACCAAUAAAGAAACAAAAGCUCAAAAAAGGAUCGAAUAGCUUGUCCAAGCUGCGUAAGGAAAAUCUGAAUCCUGGUCUUUCCGAUCUCAAAGCUUACACGGCUCGUCAGUCUGCCCCCAGUUUAAGCAGGCUGUUAAAUCGGAGGUUGCUUAAUAGCCCUUGACGUGAAAAAGGCAGCACACAGGUACUAACUCAGAUAAGCUACUUCUUGGGAGGAAAGGGGGAGAUCAGGCAAAGAUAUUAUCGGUAGACCGAUUCCAAGCAAGGAUUGACAGAGGUCAGCCUCUAAAACCGUAAAGCUUCAAGAGGAAGACCAUUAGCCCCUAAGAAGCCCGCCUUUGGGGCCCUCUGUGUCAGGGGGCUGACGGCGGGGGGUGGACGUCAACCCCUGACCCCUCUGGAGAAGGUGGCAGGAACCCCGUGAGUGAAGCCCGCUCACUGGCUGUCGCUCCCCCUUUUGGCGAUGCUGGGAGCAGCCCGCAGCCCUGUGCUCAGGUGAGAGCAGCUGUAGAAGGUGCAGGUCUCCAGCGCUCAUGGGAGGGGAGAGGCACGGCGCCGGCCGUUCGCGGGCGCUGUCAGGCUCACGCCCUCAGAGCUGAGAAGUCUCAUUGCCGCCUCGGACGGUGCUCCUGACCCAGCCUGCCUGUGCUCCGUCUCCCCACCUGUAGGCGAUGCCCGUGCAUCGGAGUCUUUGCAGGCUGAGACCCAGGCCACAGGACCCUUCCCGGCCCCUUAAAGGAGAAUCAUGCUGCAGCGUGAGGUUUUGUCACCUGCUUGGACCAGAGGCUUAAAUGAACUGUUCCACAUACUUUUCCAAAUACUGGAAAGCUCCCAGAAAACAAUAGGCUGGCGCUCCCUGCAGUCUGAAGCACGGUUACUGUCACAAAGGGACAGAGCUCUUCCGUGACUUGGGUCCUUUCCUCGUGUGUAUGAUGGGACAACUCUGGAAGCAUGCUCUCUUUUUAUAACAGUGUUUUAAAAUAUUCCAGAAUCGGGUGCGACUUAAUAGCUUUGCAUUGGCUUGAAUUUUGUGUUCACCCUGACAGAUCUUCCUUCCCAUUUGUACUUUUCUGCUUGACUUUUUUAGAUUUAUUUUUCUGGUGUUAGACAGUAUGGAAUAUACCUAUUGCUUGUCUCAGCCAUUUCUCUUACUGGCCAAGAUCCUGUUGAAUGCCCACCCCACUCUCGAGAACCUCCCUGAUGUAUCAUGUCCCUGUUUUGACGGCAUCUUGAAGCACCUGAGCAUGGGCACUCCCCUGGUCCCUUGGCCUAAAGAGCACACGCUAAGUUUCCUUCUGUGGUCGGUCCUGAUGCGUCCGCUGAUGAGCAAGCCUGCUCUCUGGCCUCGCUGUGGUUAAGUACCUCAUCCAGGGCGUUGUAAUCAUUAACUUAGACACUUCAAUCAGUGGUCACUUGACAGGACAGACUUUCCUGCAUCGCACUGCUGAGUCACACAGCCUCUCACUGGCUGAACCGUGAGCGUCGGAGAGUCAGGCCUCCCCAAGGAACCUUCCUUGGAUCUGCUCCGAAGCCCUCCCAGGAGCCAGGCAGGUCCCCCUGCAUGGAAGACUAAUUUUUAGGGAUGGGGACCUGUGCGACCUGGGCUUCCACUCCUGUGAUGUGCUCAAAGGUGAAUGCCAGCUUCAGUGUUAGACCACGUAGGCGGAGGAUGUCCUGUGGCUCCAGGUCUAAAGUGCCCUCCACCCGAGGUCGGAUUUACAGGCUCAUGCUGCCCUCUGCUGGCCAUCUGGAGUCUGUGCUGCUGCAGAAGAAGGCAAAAUCAAUUCUGAAAAUUGAAACCUCCUAUCUUCUGUGCAGGCUGCUUUCAUGCUUUUCCUCCAUGAUUGGAGGUACAAGAUCAAUACCAUGUUUUAUUUCAGAAGACAUCUUGCUGAUCAAACCUUGAUGGUCUGCAAAACGCACAGCCUGGGCGGCAGGCAGGGGGCGUGGGGGUGGGGGGGAACAGUUUCCUUAGCAGCAGCCACACCGGCUUGAGGAGGUGUGUGGUGCUCACUGUACAGGAAAGAGAGGUGCUCCUUCAUCCUCCUUAAAAAAAAUUCAUCUCUUUAUCACAGUGGUAGAGUAGCAAGAGAAAACAACUGAUUUUGCUUCCUCUGCUGCUCUGGAUUAGUUCCUAAGGGUUCAUACUGUCAUUUAAAUUCCAGGUGCUCAUCUUCUGAAGAAACGCCCCCUUAGGAUUUCUGUGCCUGGAAAAUACCCAUCAACAGACUGCUUUGAUAUCUUGUGUAAGUAGAGGCUUGUGCUCAUAAAUCAGUCUCAAGGGAGCUUUGGUUUAUUUUCUUGGAUGAUUCACCAGUACAUUUUCUAAAUGAUCAUCAGUGUUUGAUCUCUAUUUCUUUCCUCCUAAAUACUCAACUUUCAAUCGAUUCUCAGAAGAAGUCCCUAACAUGAACUCCUGCUUAAAACCAGGGUUAUGGAUCUCAUUUUCAGGUCUUAAAAUAAGAACAGACAGAAAAUGUUACAGCUGCUUACUUCCAUUAACUCAGCUGGAAACGCCGUUUGUGGAUCCGAGGGCACCUUUUCAGGGUUCGGGGCACGUCAGGCUCCUCUGGGGUUAGCGACUGUGGGACGCUCACCUGUAGCGCAGACGUGAACACAGGAGCCGGGAGCCCUUCUGUUUGGGAGGCCGAAGCAGGUCUCUUAGCCACGCUCUGCUUCUGACGUGGUGAAGAAAAGCGAAGUCAUUGUUUUAUCGUCGUAACCAUCACCGAGUGAAUGGGAACCCGUGCUGUUUCUAGCUUUUCCUUAUCUAGCUGAACUCUCACAACAAGCUUAUGUGGUAUAGACCCUGAUUUCACAGAUGAGGCAACUGAGAAUGGCGGGGGCUGCUGGACUAAGAGGACGUGAGCUUCCUUAGAUUAGUGGGAAAACAAGUCUUUAAAGAAGAUGUGACUUGCUUAAGGUCACCCUGCAGGUCAGAGUGUGGCUGAGGGUCCAGGGCCAAAGCUGGUCGUAAUUGUUUGCUCACGUGCUUAUUGAUGAAACCCUGAAACUCGGAGCCGAUUGAUGUUCAGAGUUCUGUGUAGCCACGCGGAGAUGAGCCCUUACCAUUUCUAUAAAGCACCAAGCGGCAAAGACUGACGCCUGGGAGCCUGGGCCUGGAAUCUCGCAAGGCAGGGCCUGAAUCCUGGGCUUGCCGUCCACAGGCUUUGUGUCCAAGAGCGAGACCUGUACCCUCGCAAAAUCUGUUCCUUCCCCUGGAAAAUGGAGAUAACGCCACCAGCCUUGUUAGGUGGCUGUGAACACUGAGAGAGCACAUGGCAUAGUGCUGGCACAGAACUAAGCCUUCCAGAAAUGGAUGCUGCUACUGUUUUCAGAGCACCUUCUCCAUCUGCUUCUCGGUUCAUUCAGACCUUCACCCGGAAAAGGCACUCCAGUGUUCUGAUCUGAUGAAACAGUGAACAUUUGUGAGGUGCUUUAAAAAUUACAGAUGUUUCUGUAUACUCCCGAGCACCACUGCAGGAUAGGAAUCUGCAUCUCCGCUCUCCAGAUCGGCAUUCUUAGGCUCGGCAAAAUCACAUGCUCCCCAGGAUCCUGUAGUUAGUCAACAGCACAGCCAGGACCUCAACUCAGAGCUGCAGCUCCGGACCCUGUGCUGAAUAACUUCAUUUGCUUCCUGUGAGGCAGCAUUUAUUAGAGGCAUGUACGUUAACAGAAAAGCACUUCCCACCCUGGGAUCCCAACCGGCCACAGCUGCAUCUUUAAUCUGGCCUAAAUAUUCAAGUUAGGACUCCUGUAUCCCGAUGUCUGUAACAUUUGGAAGCCACUGUCUUAAAGACGUGUCCUAGUCAGAUACGGUCUCCUCGGGUAUUUAAGCCCCAAGGGACGUUACCUUAAUCCGGUUUUCCUGCAAGAACAGACUGGCAUUUCACGUCAAGGGAAACACCGUGUCGCCACUGUUCUGCUUUUGCCACACUGGAGUUACCUGUGUGGUUUACGGAGUCACAUUUCAGGCUCUACCUUGCCUAUCAGAUCCGGAAGCAAAAAUCCAGAGAAGGGCAGCUUGCUCAAAAAGAGCAUCAAGUAUGGCAGGGCAGGUGGGAUUUUGAAAUGGAAACACAUUCCUGUGGCUUUUGGGCUGAGGGAGACGGAGGAAGGAUUUUGUUCCUGACAAGUGGUUCCCUUUGUGCUGGGGAUGGAGCAUUCAGCAGGGUUAAACGUGUGUUCCAUGUGUAAGUGGUGGGAACAAAUAACACGCCUUUCCAAUGAUGCAAUACCUUAAACAUGGCUGAGGGUUAAAAUAGGAGCACCCUGAGUUACAGAGAGUCAGCCCUGUCCAUCUCCUGGCCUGAACAUGCAGAACAGUGGGGUCGAUUGUUGGAGACGGAGGGCAGGAAGGCGUGGAAAGAUGCUGUCGUGACCGAGUAAGAUCUUUCCCUGCAGGUCAGUGUCGCUGACGGACUCGGCAGAGUAAGCAGAUGCCAGGUGCUGGGGCCCGUUUUCCCACGUGUGUCCUGGAAGGAGAAGGAACGAGCCCCUGAUUUUUUUUUCCACAUCCCUACUAGGGAACCAUGGGAUUUUUUUCCCCCUGUGUGAGUUUGAUAGCCACCCUGCCCACUCAGACCUCUUUGCAGGAAACCGGCCUCUUGCUUUAGAAGAUGAUACAAAAACAGAGGCCCAAACUCAGGAGCUCUAUUUCAGUGUAUUUUGUGGACGUCAUUUUAUAAUCGCCAACUAAGUACCUCUGGUUCCCACCAAGGGCUUGCCAGCUUCAAGGACAGAUACACUACAUGACUGAUUCUGGUGCUAAUUACUCUUUUUCUGCUAAAAAUGCCUCCUCAUUUGAAGAGCCAUAGAUGGGAAAGAAUAUAUCCACCUUUUUUCUGCUGAUUUUUUUGAAAAGGCGUAUUUAAAGGAUAAUACAGUACCAUCUGUUUGUUUCUGCUGAGGGAAGAGAACAGUAUGGUUGCAUGUGUAUUAUGUGUAUGCGUGUGCAGGUAUGUACAUGUGCAGAUGUGACCUUUACUUGAUGUAUGAGAUAUGUAUGACCUUAGAUAUAAGUAAAAGGAAGAAAGUCAUUCUUUAGGAAAAAAAUUUCCCCGUAACUGAAAUGUCAGUCAUUAGUUAAAAAUGAAAAAAAAUUAGGGUGUUCCUGUCAUGGCUCAGUGGUACAAACCUGACUCGUAUCCAUGAGGAUGUGGGUUCGACUCCUUGUUCUGUGGGUUAAGGACCCGGCAUUGCUGUGAGCUGUGGUGUAGGUCACAGACGUGGCUCAGAUCCCACGCUGGUAUGGCCGUGACAUAGGCCAGCAGCUACAGCUCUGAUUUGACCUCUAGCCUGGGAACUUCCAUAUGUCUCGGGUCUGGCCCUAAAAAUAAAUUAAUUUAAAAAAAUAGAAAGUAGGCCUUUUUGGAUUUUGGAUUUUCAGCUGAUCAGAAUAAGAGAAUCUGGCUGAACCUUGUAUACUUGGGUUGCUGAGAUUAUCAAUUACAAUAGCAUUUGCAGAGAGAUGCAGUGGAGCCCAGAUUCAUCACAAAAUUAGUAAAAUAGCUAUUUGAGGAGGCCAGUGAUUCCCGUGUCCCAGCACUUGUUCAGGUUGAAAUGCUUGCACGUCCUUUCCAGUUGAGAUAUUUAACUGCCUGUGGCUUCAUGGAGCAUGUGUAUUUCUUUGCUGGCAGCACGUGGCUGCAUCCUUGUGAAGUGAUUGCUGCACGUCUCUGCAGCCCAUGGUGUCCUCGUCCCUUGUUUACAGAGAUGAAAAACUGAGCCUAGUGGCGGUAGGCACAUGCCAUGGUGCUUUUCCACUGUGAAGGACGAGUCUGUGUUGGGAUCUCCUGGUGAAGGGCUAAGUGGCCUGGCCUGUCAGGGGUAAGAAUGUGAAUCGGACCCGAGCUAAACACCCUGCCCCCUCCUGGCUUGUUAGCCUCCUGCUGGGCCCACUGGAAAUCCUCAGCCACAGGCACGUUGUGACUGGAUGUUCUUUCCAUACUCAUGUUGAGAUUGUAAAUGAAGGGAGUUCCUGUCGUGGCUCAGUGGUAAGAAACCCGAUUAGUGUCCAAGAGGACACGGGUUCGAUCCCUGGCCUUGCUCAGUGGGUUAAGGAUCCAGUGUUCCCGUGAGCUGUGGUAUAGGUCACAGAUGGCACUCGGAUCCUGUGUUGCUGUGGCUGUGGUGUAGGCCGGUGGUUGCAGCUCUGAUUUGACCCUUAGCCUGGAAACUUCACUAUGCCCAGGUGCAGCCCUAAAAAAAAAAAAAAAGGACAAAAAUAAAAAAAGAUUGUAAAUGAGGGUAAUGUGUGAGAAAGUCAAAAGGAAAAGCUGUUUCUAUUGGCUUAUUUAAGCAAAGA
This is a non-coding RNA of Sus scrofa (pig), 34975 nucleotides long. Lineage: Eukaryota; Metazoa; Chordata; Mammalia; Artiodactyla; Suidae. The record is from RefSeq and is a predicted model, not a curated record.